UGGGGAAUUUUGGACAAUGGGGCGAAAGCCUGAUCCAGCAAUGCCGCGUGUGUGAAGAAGGCCUUCGGGUUGUAAAGCACUUUUGUCCGGAAAGAAAUCCUUGGCUCUAAUACAGUCGGGGGAUGACGGUACCCGGAAGAAUAAGCACCGGCUAACUACGUGCCAGCAGCCGCGGUAAUACGUAGGGUGCAAGCGUUAAUCGGAAUUACUGGGCGUAAAGCGUGCGCAGGCGGUUUGCUAAGACCGAUGUGAAAUCCCCGGGCUCAACCUGGGAACUGCAUUGGUGACUGGCAGGCUAGAGUAUGGCAGAGGGGGGUAGAAUUCCACGUGUAGCAGUGAAAUGCGUAGAGAUGUGGAGGAAUACCGAUGGCGAAGGCAGCCCCCUGGGCCAAUACUGACGCUCAUGCACGAAAGCGUGGGGAGCAAACAGGAUUAGAUACCCUGGUAGUCCACGCCCUAAACGAUGUC
Molecule: ribosomal RNA, 468 nt
Filed under: uncultured bacterium
Lineage: Bacteria
Description: partial 16S ribosomal RNA
Rfam family: Bacterial small subunit ribosomal RNA
Source: RNAcentral